UACGAAGGGGGCUAGCGUUGCUCGGAAUUACUGGGCGUAAAGCGCACGUAGGCGGAUUUGUUAGUCAGGGGUGAAAUCCCGAGGCUCAACCUCGGAACUGCCUUUGAUACUGCAAAUCUCGAGUCCGGAAGAGGUGAGUGGAAUUCCUAGUGUAGAGGUGAAAUUCGUAGAUAUUAGGAAGAACACCAGUGGCGAAGGCGGCUCACUGGCCCGGUACUGACGCUGAGACGCGAAAGCGUGGGGAGCGAACCGG
This 253-nucleotide ribosomal RNA is filed under the name uncultured bacterium. RNAcentral describes it as "partial 16S ribosomal RNA". It matches the Rfam family "Bacterial small subunit ribosomal RNA", at positions 524 to 776 of the family's 1533-position model. The record is from RNAcentral.